RNAcentral lists this ribosomal RNA (630 nucleotides) under uncultured eukaryote. RNAcentral's name for it is "SSU rRNA". It matches the Rfam family "Eukaryotic small subunit ribosomal RNA", at positions 601 to 1288 of the family's 1831-position model. The record is from RNAcentral.
UUGUUGAAGUUGCUGCAGUUAAAAAGCUCGUAGUUGAAUAUCCGGCGUCUCUGGCGUCUGCCCGACUCGGCUGUAGAUGUUGAGAAACUUUUACUGUUCGAUCAGGCGUUUACUGUGAACAAAUUAGAGUGCUCAAAACAGGCUUUUGCUUGAAUUUUUUAGCAUGGAAUAAUAAAAUACGACUUCGCUCAUUUUAUUGGUUCUUGAACGAAGUAAUGGUUAACAGGAACAGUUGGGGGCAUUCGUACUUAAAAGUCAGAGGUGAAAUUCUUAGAUUUUUUAAAGACGAACUAAUGCGAAGGCAUUUGCCAAGGAUGUUUUCAUUAAUCAAGAACGAAAGCGUUGGGAUCAAAAAGGAUCAGAUACCCUUGUAGUCAACGCCGUAAACGAUACUGACUAGGGAUUGGUGAGGCGAACCCUCAUCAGCACCUAAUGAGAAAUCAAAGUCUUUGAGUUCUGGGGAGAGUAUGGUCGCAAGGCUGAAACUUAAAGGAAUUGACGGAAAGAUACACAAGUCGUGGAUUCUGCGGCUUAAUUUGAUUCAACACGGGAAAACUUACGCAGGCAAAAAGCUAGUAGGAUUGACAGCUUGAUAGCACUUUCUUGAUUUGGCAGCGAGUGGUGCAUGGC